UGGGGAAUAUUGCACAAUGGGCGCAAGCCUGAUGCAGCCAUGCCGCGUGUGUGAAGAAGGCCUUCGGGUUGUAAAGCACUUUCAGCGAGGAGGAAGGUGGUGAGCUUAAUACGCUCAUCAAUUGACGUUACUCGCAGAAGAAGCACCGGCUAACUCCGUGCCAGCAGCCGCGGUAAUACGGAGGGUGCAAGCGUUAAUCGGAAUUACUGGGCGUAAAGCGCACGCAGGCGGUUUGUUAAGUCAGAUGUGAAAUCCCCGGGCUCAACCUGGGAACUGCAUUUGAAACUGGCAAGCUAGAGUCUCGUAGAGGGGGGUAGAAUUCCAGGUGUAGCGGUGAAAUGCGUAGAGAUCUGGAGGAAUACCGGUGGCGAAGGCGGCCCCCUGGACGAAGACUGACGCUCAGGUGCGAAAGCGUGGGGCAGCAAACAGGAUUAGAUACCCUGGUAGUCCACGCUGUAAACGAUGUCGAUUUUGGAGGUUGUGCCCUUGAGGCGUGGCUUCCGGAGCUAACGCGUUAAAGUCGACCGCC
RNAcentral lists this ribosomal RNA (529 nucleotides) under uncultured bacterium. Its description in RNAcentral is "partial 16S ribosomal RNA". It matches the Rfam family "Bacterial small subunit ribosomal RNA", at positions 355 to 873 of the family's 1533-position model. The record is from RNAcentral.